Long non-coding RNA from Triticum aestivum (bread wheat), 563 nucleotides. RefSeq lists it as uncharacterized. NCBI's taxonomy places the organism in Eukaryota, Viridiplantae, Streptophyta, Magnoliopsida, Poales, Poaceae. The record is from RefSeq and is a predicted model, not a curated record. The transcript has 3 exons.
CGACGUGGCAUCGCUCCUUGCUCGCCCAGCCCUUCGCUCUUGGAGAGUGUAAUACUACGUAGGAGGACAUAGCUGCAGCAGUCUGAUUAGCAGGAAGAUGGUUGGAGAGUACCAUGGAUAUAACAUCAUUUUGAAAAUUCAAAUUUGGCUAAUCCAUGUGUAUUGAACCUGCUUUUGAAGCUAUCCUGUCUCAUUUUUGUGAAGUGAACAUGCUUUUGCUAGCUGAACUUUACAAAGAGCUUAGCGUCGUCAUCCAUCAUGCACUGGUCUCUCUCUCCACCUCAUCCUUCCUUUGAUCUCUAGGUGGGGCUGUGGUUUGAUUGGAUUUUGUGGGUGGCCUGGUUGGGAGAAGGAAGGUGCAUCUAUUUUUGCUUUUUUCAAUCCUCCCUUUUUGAUUGAGUUGUUGCUAGCUUCCCAGGAAGUUCCUUUUACUUAGUAAGAAAUGUUAGUUUGAAAUAUGUUCAUUGGGAGUUCAGAAAAUGUGGCAAGCAUCCAAGUCACUCCUUUGUACUUGUAUUGUUUCCUUUUACUCAAGUGCCAUACAAGAUACUAAGUAUUUUUCA